This 565-nucleotide ribosomal RNA is filed under the name uncultured bacterium. Its description in RNAcentral is "bacterial SSU rRNA". It matches the Rfam family "Bacterial small subunit ribosomal RNA", at positions 358 to 916 of the family's 1533-position model. The record is from RNAcentral.
GGAAUUUUGGACAAUGGGGGCAACCCUGAUCCAGCAAUGCCGCGUGUGUGAAGAAGGCCUUCGGGUUGUAAAGCACUUUUGGCGGGAACGAAACGGUGGGGGCUAAUAUCCUCUGCUAAUGACGGUACCCGCAGAAUAAGCACCGGCUAACUACGUGCCAGCAGCCGCGGUAAUACGUAGGGUGCAAGCGUUAAUCGGAAUUACUGGGCGUAAAGCGUGCGCAGGCGGUUGUGCAAGACAGAUGUGAAAUCCCUGGGCUCAACCUAGGAAUUGCAUUUGUGACUGCACGGCUAGAGUGUGUCAGAGGGGGGUAGAAUUCCACGUGUAGCAGUGAAAUGCGUAGAUAUGUGGAGGAAUACCGAUGGCGAAGGCAGCCCCCUGGGAUAAUACUGACGCUCAUGCACGAAAGCGUGGGGAGCAAACAGGAUUAGAUACCCUGGUAGUCCACGCCCUAAACAAUGUCAACUAGCUGUUGGGGGCUUCGGCCCUUAGUAGCGCAGCUAACGCGUGAAGUUGACCGCCUGGGGAGUACGGUCGCAAGAUUAAAACUCAAAUGAAUUGACGG